CCAUGAGAGUUGGAAAUACCCGAAGCCUGUGAGCUAACUUAAAGAGGCAGCAGUCGAAGGUAGAGCCAAUGAUUGGGGUGAAGUCGUAACAAGGUAAC
RNAcentral lists this ribosomal RNA (98 nucleotides) under uncultured bacterium. RNAcentral describes it as "partial 16S ribosomal RNA". It matches the Rfam family "Bacterial small subunit ribosomal RNA", at positions 1402 to 1500 of the family's 1533-position model. The record is from RNAcentral.